GACUGCGUAGCUCAGUUGGCAGAGCAUUGGGCUAGUAUUCCAAAAGUCGUAGGUUCGAUUCCCACUGUGGCCA
Molecule: transfer RNA, 73 nt
Filed under: Paramuricea clavata
Lineage: Eukaryota; Metazoa; Cnidaria; Anthozoa; Malacalcyonacea; Plexauridae
Rfam family: tRNA
About the family: Transfer RNA (tRNA) molecules are approximately 80 nucleotides in length. Their secondary structure includes four short double-helical elements and three loops (D, anti-codon, and T loops).
Source: Rfam by way of RNAcentral